UGAUUCUACAAGUAAUUCAAGGGAGCAAUGCUACGAGACAGAAAAAGUGUAUCUGUGCAAAAUCAUGGCCUGAAAUUCAGUUUUACAAAAGGAAGCCAAAUAUUAAUGACAAGUAACAAGAUAUGACAAUCUAAAAUACAUGUAAAAAGGCUGUAUGAAGGGAAAACCCCUACAGGCAAUUUAUAUUUCAAGUGGCUACUCAAAUCAUUAAGUGGAGAACAUUAAGCAAAAGGAAAAAUGAGGGAAAACAAACUGGGACAAAAUACCAGAAAAGUAAUACAACACUCACAAAACCUGAAAGAGGAAAUUGGAAAGGGAGAAAUGCAUGUUUAUAUUUUGAAAAGCAGAGACAUGCUUAGGAUGUACAGCAAAUGUGAAGGAGUAGUGUCACAAUAGUAAUCAUAAACAAUUUACUUUUUUAAGUAGGAUGGUGGACAUACAUAGGUGGACAUAAAGAGACUACAGCUAAUCAGAAUAAAUACUGAAAAUCACAAGGGGAAGUGGAUGGGAUAGAGUCAUAGAGUGGGAAAGUACAGGGGGAAAUUGAGAAUGCAAAAUAAUUAAUAUAUGCCCAGUUGCUCUGUGGCUGUACCAACAAUGAAUGGACUUUUAGCGAAAACCAGACUGAUGAGCAAGUAGUACAAAAAGUAAG
Pezoporus occidentalis (night parrot) is the source of this 652-nucleotide long non-coding RNA. RefSeq lists it as uncharacterized. The record is from RefSeq and is a predicted model, not a curated record. NCBI's taxonomy places the organism in Eukaryota, Metazoa, Chordata, Aves, Psittaciformes, Psittacidae. The transcript has 2 exons.